GUCCCCCAGGAUCGAGUGUGAGAACCACUGCGUUAGAGGGCCAUGUUCCCCCAAGGCCAAAUAAUCAGUGCCCCUAGGCAGUGACAGGAACGCCGUGCUGUAGGCGACGCUGUCUUUGGGAAGAGACGUAAAACCGAGUUCCUGACUCACCGUGCUCUCUCAACCUGCCACCACAUCACCCCCUGAUUUAAUAGGCUAAAAAAACUGUUAUCUCCCUCUCCGCCUCAGCUGAUGUGUGGUGAGCGUUAGCCUACGACGCAAAUUGGCUGCCGUGCGUCACCCAGGUGGGUGAUACACAUCGAUCGUGGUUAUGGCAUAUUUGCAGACCCACAGGCCAGCUGAACAGGAAGCACGUUUGGUCUAAGCUGAAGCCACGUGGCGGAGCACCGUUAUGAAUAACAGCGUGUGCCGGAAAGCCUCGUCACAAAGGCCAAACGGUACGAGGGUGAAUGCGUUUCCGCACUGUCGCUUUCUACACUCGCUGUUUGGCGAUCAAAGGGGAGCGGAGGAAACGAAGCCCAGCUGAUGAUUAAUCCGCCCAGCGCGGUCCUCCAGAGAACAGAGCAGAUAAAAGGACAAGGUGUCUCCAGCCAAACUGCAGACAAAAAAUGGGCCAGCUCUCCAAAAAAGAAUAAAUAUAUAAAUGAAUAAGUAAAUAAAUAGAAAACAAUUCUGGGGAAACAGUCUGGUGACAGUGGAUGGAAAGCUGACGGGAGAGAGUCCUGAAAGCUAACCAUAGCCAUAGAGCCAUUGAUCUGGAAUAUAUGGGGUAUAAUGACCUGGAAUUAAAAUGGCCUCUUCUGAUUUGUAUUUCUAACAGCGUGAGCAAUGAUAG
Anguilla anguilla (European eel) is the source of this 835-nucleotide long non-coding RNA. RefSeq lists it as uncharacterized. The record is from RefSeq and is a predicted model, not a curated record. The transcript has 3 exons. Lineage: Eukaryota; Metazoa; Chordata; Actinopteri; Anguilliformes; Anguillidae.